Molecule: long non-coding RNA, 1018 nt
Organism: Macrobrachium nipponense
Lineage: Eukaryota; Metazoa; Arthropoda; Malacostraca; Decapoda; Palaemonidae
Exons: 6
Source: RefSeq, a predicted model, not a curated record
UUCCAUGGUUUUGAUGCCUCGCCCUAUACAUCAGAUGUAGAUGUUCCCUCAUCAGUUGAUACAAGUAUCACCUCCCCAGAGCCCAAAUCAGUUGAUACGAGUAGUAUCACCUCUCCCAUUCCUUCAGACUCCCAAGCACCUGCCCAUCCCACUCCAUAGCCCAGCCACCCACUCUCAUGUACCAUAUGACCAUCCCAGUAAGCAAGCCAACCACUAGAAUUUGACUGGCAUGCACCUGUGACUUACAUAAACCAGACCUCUACAUAGCCUACAUGUCUUCAUUUUGCUGGAGACUGCCCAUCAUCCUAGCCUGUUAUCUGUGAUAAAGCACACUGAAGUUAGGUUUGGAAUGCAUCCUUAUCAUGAAUGCUCUACACCUCCACCUCCAUCUCCCACAACCUAGGUAACAGCUUUGAGACUCACUAAAAGUUGGUAAGUUAUGUAAGGAAUUUCUAAAUUAAGUUUUAUACUACAUGUUAUAUGUGAUAUUAAACCACUGUAUGGUGCAUAUUACUGUAUGUAACUUACUAUGCAUAGAGUACUUACUGACAUACUAAUUAUUUUUUGUACAUUCCAGAACCCCCUGAAUGAUGUAGGCUAUGGGGCCACAUAAGACUUUGUCCAUCCAGGGUUACAUUGAAAGACAACUUUAAACUAAAGAGCUACCAGACUGGGAUUUUAGUGUAUCAAGGAUCUAACAAAGUGUGCAAUGCAUGUGUAUACGUAUACAGUGACAGUGUUUAGUGUAUACCCUAAGGAUUAAGUGUAGUGUACAUUGUGCUUUUUAGUGUCACAAGAGUUUAAUAAAGAAUUAUACCUUCAAGAACCAUCCUUUGCCAUUGGAAUAACCACACUACACAUCAUGCAAUCUACUUGCAUGUCACACAGGUAAGGUCUCUAACUUUUUCUUAGUUUAAGGCAUAUUUCCAAGUGUCGUUCCGGCUUACGACGAUUUUCGGCUUACGACGCGCCUCAAGAACGGAACCCCCGUCGUAACCCGGGGACUGCCUGUAUAUAU